GCAGAUUUGAAGAAUCAGCUGGGAGAUGCUGGAUACGUAUUAUUUGGAGUGGUGUUAUUUGUUUGGGAACUCUUACCUACCACCUUAGUCGUUUAUUUCUUCCGAGUUAGAAAUCCUACAAAGGACCUUACCAACCCUGGAAUGGUCCCCAGCCAUGGAUUCAGUCCCAGAUCUUAUUUCUUUGACAACCCUCGAAGAUAUGACAGUGAUGAUGACCUUGCCUGGAACAUUGCCCCUCAGGGACUUCAGGGAGGAAAAAACACCUUGGAUCUGCCUAUUUCUAAAUUCUAAUUCAAUGAACAAUGAGGACAUUUUAAUAAAAAGCUUGC
This 329-nucleotide small RNA is filed under the name Pan troglodytes (chimpanzee). RNAcentral's name for it is "processed transcript". The record is from RNAcentral. Lineage: Eukaryota; Metazoa; Chordata; Mammalia; Primates; Hominidae.